Bufo bufo (common toad) is the source of this 224-nucleotide long non-coding RNA. RefSeq lists it as uncharacterized. Lineage: Eukaryota; Metazoa; Chordata; Amphibia; Anura; Bufonidae. The transcript has 2 exons. The record is from RefSeq and is a predicted model, not a curated record.
AAGAAGGGGUUUCCGGAAGAAACUAAAAAGAAGCCCUUUCGUUCCUUCAAUUCCCAGACUAGACCCUAUAGGGGCAAAGGGAAGGGGGGUAGGUGGAGUUACCAAAAAGGGGGGGAAAAGGCAGAGGGUUCCUUCUCAACCCCCAGAAUAAGCAGUCAGAUAAACAAUGACGCCAGAGUGGGGGGAAGACUGCGGAAUUUUCUGUCCCGGUGGGAAUCCAUUAC